CCUAUCAGAGGGGGCAGGGGGCGGGUCCAAGCGGCUCGGCCGGGGCCGCGGCCUGGGCCGUCCCUCUGCCCGAGCCCGCGGAGAGCGGCGGGAGCGGCCGCGGGUUCUGGGGUGCGCUUGGCCCGAACCCGCCUUUGUUUUGCCGAGAUCUGAAGCAGCAGCGUGCUUCAUGCUCUCAGUUUCCUGUUUCCCGUUGGGUUUUUGGGGGUGGGGGUGUUUCUUUUCGGGUUUUAGGAAUGCUUCUUUAGUGGUGGGUAGGGUGUGAGCCGCAUUCUGUUCUCAUCUUUAUUCAUCUGAUUUUAAUGAAACACAGUUUAAGUGCUGAAACCUCCUCUUGGCCAUGCCUUGCAGUGGUUUACUGAACUGUGUUCUAUGUAGCGUUAAAGUUCAAAAUGGUUCAUCUUCUUGGGAACCUUGUUGCCCAACAUCCCACCUAGCGAGCAGGCACCGGCAAGAGUGAUUAUCUCGGGCACAUUCAAGUACCUAGUGGAGGAAUUCUGCUUCUUCAUAAGACCAGGCAACUGGGAAUCAGUCAUGACUGGCACCUGAAGCUGGCAGAAUGAACCUAGGCAUUGCUGGAUGUUUUAGUUCAUAUUUUGUUCUAUUUGCCUUUAAAAUUCCCACUUAAAUUUUUAUUUUCUUUUUGAUUUUUGUAUCACUUCCAACACGAUGUACCGUAUGAAGCUUUAGCCUGCCUUUGAGAGAAUGAAAGGGUGUUGCACAGGGUAAGGUAACAAUCUACGAUUCAUGUCCAUAAUGAAGGGGGAAAGAUGUCUGCAGUUUAAACUGCAGUAAGAAAAAUGCAAGGGGGGGGCGGAAAAAAUCCUUCUACUGGUAAAGAUACCACAACAGAAGAUUGCCUAAUGGGGAGAGCAUGGGUAUGGGAUCUUCAUCACCUGAGGCUUUAAAGAAAGGAUGGAGCUGGUGCGUAUUCUUUCUGUUUUUACCUCUGUAGGCUGGUCUCAAGAAAACCAUUGAGCUGACAAAGCAGUGGAUAUUGCUUGAUAUAACAAGAUCUUUGUUUAAACCUCAAAACUGUGUCAGCUAGCUAACAUUUUAAGACACCUUAUUGCCAGCAGAGAUGGAAAAGGAUGAACUGCUUCCAAAGCUUUCACAGACCUUUUUGUAACAGCUCAUCAUCAACAAAAACUCUCAUUCCAGGAUGGGUCUGAGUCCUUGGAAUUGCACAUCUACCAACUGCAGAGAAAGAGCUGAAAUUGACUUUGGAUUCAUCUCCACUGGUGAGGGCUGGCCUUAGGCUCGAAUUCCUCCCAUGCGGGUGGGUGGUUUCAACAUCUUCCUGCUGCAGUGAGAAGUAUGAAAAGUGACAGAUCACAGAAGAGUUUAAGAAUGAAAGCAACGAUUGCACCUUCAUGUAAACAAAUCAAAUCCUUGGGCCACUUGCCCUGUUCUCAUCAAGUCCUCAUUUAGCUUCUCUCUAUAAAUUAUUUAACAGUAAUUAUGUUCUCUUGGAAUGAAGAGUUCCUGUUCACAUUUGUGCUUUAGCCAAUAAUGUAUCACAAGGAUGUAAAAUAGGGUACCUGUCUUCCUGUGGGCCCUCACUCCUGUCCAGCUUUCUCUUUUCCUAAUGCACGCAUACCUAUGGCAGCAUCUGCCUUCAUUUCUUUAUUCCUUUUAACUAGUAAGUGCUGGAGAAGAGAUGGAAGACAGUUAACAGCUCUAUGUACAGAAAACAUCCCAGCAGUCACAAACUACUUGGGGAAACGGGAGCUUCAAAGAUCUUAAUGAGAACACCAGCUGCCGGCUUAUUCAUUGAACAGUCACUGGAUGCCAUCUCACUAGCAUGUUACUUGGUGAAAAUCUAUUUUGAAUGUCUGGUGGUGUCUUUGCACUAAUUUGGAACAGAGACUUUCAGCAGGGAUUGUUAAAGUGCUAUAGUGGCUAUGCCAAACCAAAGAUCACUCUAGCUAAGAAAUCUUUUGCCAGUAGCAAAUGCCCAUAGUAGAACCAGGACAAGCAUGUACUCCCCUGUAUACUUUUCCCAGUGAUUCCAGUGACAUUACCAAAAGCAGUGAGUUUUCGGGGAAGCUGUUAACACACUGCUUACAGGACUUAUCUCAUGCAAUUGUGCAGAUUCCAGACUUGGGGAACGUCACAUAAAUACAGACUGUGCACUUCUGACUGCCAGGCAAGACUUCAGCACAGUGAAAGAGGAAUUUGCAUGGUCAUUUUCAUCUUUCUUACGUGAAACUUCCCACUGAAAGGGAAGCUAACUCCAACUAAACUCUGAAUGUUAUAAAAGAUCCAAACAAGAUGUUAGUGGCUUACUUGUUUAUGUCCCCUUUAUUAACUGGUUUCUGGUUCAGGGUACACAGUUGUCCUUUUUAUGCUCUCACUUCUGCUAACUGGUGAAAACACUUGAAGCAACGGAUAUGUAUAGUAAGAAUUUGAACUGAAAGUAGUGCUAGUUGACUGUAAAGUGCAAAUACUUUUAGUAGGACAGCCUGGUAAAAAUAGAUGCACAUGUUGAUUAGUUAAUUUCUAUUAGAGAGAUGUUAGUACUUAUUUUAGUAAAAUUCAAAUGCAAUUAAAAUGCAGGAAAUCAGUUUAGUAAAAUGACACCAUCUUACUGAAGCUGCGGAAUAUAUAAGAUUAGAAUGUGCUUCGCAUUUAAAACUGAUCAAAUUGUUAAGAUGAAAUUCACCUCAUAUAUAACUGUAUAGCCUCUAAGAUUUUAGAACUCACAGGUCUUAGCUUCUCAUACUUAAUUCUUACUAGCAGUUUGGAAAAUAAAAGCAGUCCAGUGGUCUUCUCAGUGCUAAUACUGAAUUAUGAACUCUCCUAUACUUGUAGAGGGCAGAGCUGCCAAACUGACUGAAUAAUUUCAGCAAACUGUACUUGGUACUUAGUCAUUUACUUCCUUUACCCAUUUUUAUCUUUAAAACUUUUGCAGCAAACAUGUACUAAGUGGCUUCUUGUUUGUAUUUCUUAUACUACAUGAUGGCCUUAUUACAAAGUGUCAAUUUCAGUUAGCCUAAUUUUUCAGACAAAAGAAGCUUUUAUAUUAAAAAGCAAAGUAGUGGAUUAUAAAGUAAAUCUGUGAUGUUGGGGGGGUUAUUUGGGAGCUGUGUGAAAGAAAAUGUAAGCAAAGUGAUUAGUUAAAACUUGGUACAGGGGUUUUUUUUGUGUGAUUGUAUAUCCAGAGGGGAUUAUUUCCUACUAUAAUGAUCAGCAACAGUCAUAGUAAAUGCAAAGGAAAAUACCUUAAUUUCCCAGUGGAUAUAAAUCUGAAUAAACAUGACUUUUUUUCUGACGUCUUUGGGGCAGCAGAAAAGGAUGCGUCUCCUUUCCAAAGGAAAAAUAUUACGGCUUUGAAUAACUGCACAAAAAUGCAACUACAUUUUGUAUCUGAAGUGCUACACUAGGAAUAUCAGUGAAAUUACACUGUCAAUGUCAACACUAAUGGAUUUAGAAAAGAAAGAUUUAAGACAUCAGACUUUAAAAGGGAAAAACAGGUUUAUUUCAUGCAGUUUACAAUACACUAGUGUUAUGAAAAGGUUAAAAAAAUAUCCACACACAUUUUAGUUGUAUGUUUGUUUUAAAAAUGAUGGUUAACUGCAACCACCUUCAAAUGAUUUGGGAAGCCCUAGCAGAUUUUUAUCCAGGGAAAUUCCAUGGAUUCAGUUUCUUGCCUAUGUCUGUGCUAAGAGUUUUGGCUAAUGCAAAAGCAUUAAAACCAGAUCAAAACUCAAACUUUGCUGCAGUAAGAACACUUCAGAGAUAAUGAAUUGGCACAAAAUAAAGUGUUAUUGCUAAUCCACUAUCCAGGAAAUAACAUGUUGCAAGUAUGGCCACUUGGAUAUUAACACAAACAGCUGAUGCACAGCUAAUGUUGAGACCAGUGAUUCUGGAGAAGAGUUAAAAAAAAACAAAGAACAUCUGCUGAAUUGGGUAGGUGGGCUUAGAGAGUCCAUGGGAAAUAGACUUCUCAUAGCUAGGCUCAGAUGAGGCUUAGGACGGAAGCAGGUGGAAAUAGUUGCCAUUUGAUACUCCUUCAGUUUGGUGAUCUUGUUUCAGUUUCAGGUAGACAGGCUGCAACAUUGCUCUUACAGUGCCUUGGCACUUGCUUCAUCCUAGCAAGUACACAUGAGCCAAGUCAAGUUUGAGUAAAGCUGUGCAUAAGCUUUUGGAAAAUCUUCAGAAGGAGCAAGAAUCAUGUACAUAAAUACAUUAACUCUUAUGUUUCAGAUGACCAGGCCUGGAAAUCUCAACAGGUGCCAAGUCAGGUCAGAAUUUAGGCUCAGCUUUCUAAGGCAAGAUCACUGUCACAGAACGUUCACCCCCAAAGUAGCAAAAUAACUUUCUGAAAGGCCUCUCUCAUUAUAGCAGUUAUUAACACACAACAUCCUAAAAAGAACCCUUUGAUGGGCCCAGAAAACUAUGUUUGCAGCAGUAUCUAUUCACAGAACCUUUGAGUUUAUGCCUCGGUAGACCUUGCUAAAGUAAAGGGCAGCUAAGCUGCAAUGCAAUAUUCAGCAACAAUUUCCUGGGGCAGAAUCAUCUCAAAGUCUCUCUAUUGCCAGUGCUGUUCGUAAGAGUUGUUAAGAUUUCAGCACUGGCAAUAACAAAGUGCUGGGCAAGUGUACCGUCUUCUCUAGUGUAUUCCUUACCAACCUGGAUACUGAAAUUCCAAACCAUACAUGAACAUUUACAUCUGCAACUGCUUCAGCCAUUUGUAAAAACGAUUUUGGAGUCCGUGAGUUGAAAGAAAACCAGAGUAGCUGCUUUUUAAAUGUUAUGUGUCUCUGGAACUUCAAAUUAACCCUGGAAAGGAUUUUAGCCCUUAGCAUUUCUGCACUGAAAAUGGAAAGAGUUCCUCUAUCUGACACUCAUUUAAGCAAACCGAACAGUAAAUUCUGUUUAGCCCUUAAAGCCUCAGUUCAGUAAGAAGCCUUUAAAGACAGAUCCUGAUUGUUGUGAGCCAAAGGAAAGAAAAGUUAUAUAACACUGAGUUCAGAGAGCCUUCCACCUCUUUUUUUUAACUGAAUAUUUACACUAUUUUAAGAAUCUAUAAUUCUAUAACACAAACCCAGAUAAGAUCCUGACAUUGUCCUUAAAGCUGGAGAUGACUGCAGUUUCAACUGUAACGCAGCAACAGGCAGCAUUCUCAGACCAUAUGUAUUUCAAAAUUUUGUUAGAAAAGACAAUUGUCCAAUCACCACAGUAGGGUUAAACCAGGAAGCUUUAAUCCUCCUGUCCUGAGUUACCAGAUACUUUUACAGGCAUAACAAAAUCUCAUCUCUUUUCAAGGGCCCCACCUUGCAGGGCUGAUUGAAGAAUUUCAUUUGAAAAACUUGAAAGAUGCUUUUGAUGUGGUGAGAGAAUAAAAUAGGAGAGCUGACACUUCCUGAUUUUAUCACAUCUCAAGCGGACAGACUCUCUUUCACUUGACUUUCAUCUCCAUGAAAAGCUCAGUACUUCUGAAGGAAUCUAUUCCAGUACACCUGCGUGACUGGACAAUGCACAUUACAAUCCAGUUUCUAGGUGAUUUCAUUCACCCAGAUAUUACUGCAUUUUUGCAUUCCAGGUUCAUUUUUUUAAUACUAAUAAAAAAUAAUUUGUAAUUAAUGUCUGCCAACUGGCUGGUGGUGGCUCUACAGCUCAAGAAGACUGACAACUCUCCACCAACAGGUAUUCACAGAGCAGGGUUCUGUUCUGAGCAGCAGUUCCCUCAGCACACCUGCAGCCAGGGGGUUUGUUUUAUCUGCUAGAAGUUUUAAUUUUUCUCCUGAAAAAAAGACACAACCAACAAAACUCUCUCAGAGAAAGAGGAGAUAGAUUGAUUCAAUUUUGGUAUCUUCAGGAAACAGUCCUGUUUCUAAUCAGUCAUAACUGUGCAUUCACAUUGCUAGAAAUGGAGCUAUACAGCUACUGUAAGGAAAACCUGAAGGAAAAAAUGUUGGAUGGACACUUCAAGCUCAAUUUCUUAAAAAAUAUCUUUUACUAAUGCUACAAUGAAAGACAAAAGGAACCUUCAUCAUCACAAGAAACCUAAGUUUGGAAAAAAAACCACAGUAAAUUGUCCAGAUUUUUUGAGUAUAUGAUUCUGAGGAAUGAAAGUUUAGUAGAGAAUUAAUAUAAGCUCCUAAAUACAAUCAGGCCUUUGACAGAUAAUAAAUUACUGUGGGAUAACAAACUGCACAUAAUCCAUGGUGACCCCACAGGAAGCAGGGGAAAAUUCCAGGUAACCUCUUGUCUUUUGGUUUAAAAAAAUCAUAAAAUAAUCUCUUUCACAUUUACUGUGGGAGCUGCCAGGUCAGACUAUACUUUUGGACAGUUAUUAUGGACCAGAUGCCAUUCAUGUCUUGGAGGCCUCAGGAUGACUCGUUCAUUGCAGAUAAACUCUGAUUUGAUUGCUGCUUGAAGAAGUCAAAGGCAUUUAAUACAAAAAUGUCAUCACCAAUACAGAAAACGAGCCUCUUUGCUCGUUUGAGCUUAAGUCCAACAGUAUGCUACCUGUUUCCUUGCUUCUUCAAAGCAAGAAAUUGCUUUAGCAAAUUUGAACCUCUCAGUUUUUAAACAAGUUUUGCAAGAAGUUUGUAACAGCCUUUAAAGAAUUUCACUGAAAAUCAUCUGCUGAAGCAACCUCCUGUUCCAUGGACAACGCACCAAAGAACUUCACUGAAUAUUUGUAUAGCAAAAGGGUAGAAAGUUAAAUCACAGAAUUUACAUUUCCAUCAGAGGUCACCCUGAUUAAUUGUUACGUUUUGGUAUCUCUCCCUUCCUGCUUUAUUUUCUUCUGCUAUGACCUCUUUGUGCUCAGGAUCUUAAACUCUAACUUAGAAUCCUGUUUUAAGAACAGAGGAGCUCUGUAAAUCCAGAGUUCACAUCACAGGCUUCUGCAGUACAGCUGUGAACCCAUCAGCUUUACACAGCCACAGGCAGUUCUCUUGAGGUAACUACUCUUCAAACGACAGAAGAGAAACAAAGGACUCCAGUUUAAGCUGUUAUCGGUACAUUACCUCAUCCUGCAAGAUCUUAACAGACGAAGCAAUGUUUACGAAACCUGGUGAUGUAGAUUGGACUCUAAUGCAGUUACCUUGUUACUAUAGCUAGCUUUAUUUGAAAUUACAAUAGUCAAAUAAAAAGAAACCGAACUUACGUAGGGAUCAAUUCUUAAUGCCUUGAAGGUGGCAUACGGUAGCACUUCUAUUGAUCUGAAAGCUUCACGUGUUCACAAAAAUUAAAGCAAUAAUGACAUUAGCAAGAACAAGAAAGUGGUUAGUUCAGGUGGUCUCAAACAGCAUAUUUAAAUAAUUUACAAGAUACCUGCCUGUUAAAGUUUAUUGUUUUGUUUUUCUUUUUCUUUCUUAAAAUCUUUGUGAGGUAUUGGAAACAAAGUGCAAAAUGAUUAGCCACUCAUUUGCCCAAAUCUGCUACAACAGGGACACAAUGUAAACUAGAUUGCAGGUAAUCUCACUGUAAAAGCAUGUUUUUAAACUGAAAAUACUCCAGUGGAAAAAAAA
Molecule: long non-coding RNA, 7487 nt
Organism: Strigops habroptila (Kakapo)
Lineage: Eukaryota; Metazoa; Chordata; Aves; Psittaciformes; Psittacidae
Exons: 2
Source: RefSeq, a predicted model, not a curated record